AUUGGACGCUGGCGGCAUGCCUAACACAUGCAAGUCGAACGGCAGCACAGUAAAGACUUAGGUUUUUAUGGGUGGCGAGUGGCGGACGGGUGAGUAACGCGUAGGAAUCUGUCCUGGAGAGUGGGAUAACCCGAGGAAACUCGGGCUAAUACCGCAUGAUAUCGAGAGAUCAAAAGCAGGGGACCCUUCGGGGCCUUGCGAUCUAGGAUGAGCCUACGUCGGAUUAGCUAGUUGGUGGGGUAAAGGCCUACUAAGGCGACGAUCCGUAGCUGGUCUGAGAGGAUGACCAGCCACACUGGGACUGAGACACGGCCCAGACUCCUACGGGAGGCAGCAGUGGGGAAUCUUGGACAAUGGGGGAAACCCUGAUCCAGCGAUGCCGCGUGUGUGAAGAAGGCCUUCGGGUUGUAAAGCACUUUAGUUGGGGAAGAAAAGUAAUAAGUGAAUAAUUUAUUGCUCUGGCGGUACCCAAAGAAUAAGCACCGGCUAACUCUGUGCCAGCCGCCGCAGUAA
RNAcentral lists this ribosomal RNA (513 nucleotides) under uncultured bacterium. Its description in RNAcentral is "partial 16S ribosomal RNA". It matches the Rfam family "Bacterial small subunit ribosomal RNA", at positions 30 to 523 of the family's 1533-position model. The record is from RNAcentral.